Molecule: long non-coding RNA, 1250 nt
Filed under: Olea europaea subsp. europaea
Lineage: Eukaryota; Viridiplantae; Streptophyta; Magnoliopsida; Lamiales; Oleaceae
Source: RNAcentral
AUUUCCUCUUAAUUUUUUUUUUUCAAAUAAUGUAGUUCAAAUAGGGCCUUAUUUCACAUUAAAAAUGAAUUCUUCUAGAAAAAAUCUGGAUAAUAGAAAAUUGUUACCUAGCUAGAAAGAACCUUUCACGUUCUCAAUCGGGGUUAUAACGGCAUGACUGAAUACAUAAAAAGAACUUGGGGGAAAACGAGAGAAUUUUCUAUUUCAAUUUUCGUUUGUUGUGGGUGCCUGCAGUUUGAGGGGUGUAAGGGAAAGUUAAAGAAGCAAUGUGUUUUGGAGAGAGAAAUGUUUUUCCUUUUCCCUUCUUUCAGAGAAAAGAUGGUCGAAGAGAGUUUCCUCCUCUGAGAUCAUCCUGAAAAGGGCAGUGAAGAAAAAAAAUUUAAAAAAGUCACAAACAAACCCGAAAAUUUCAUUUUUAUUAAUUAUUUCAAAUCUAUUUUUUCUUUCAAGCUGCCAUAUUUGAGUGUCAACUACAAGAUUCAUCGGCCACCUUUUCUGUCCUCUACAUUGUUUUGGAAAAGGAUUUCAAAUCGCUAAAGAAUUUAUUUUUGCCAUCAUCGACUUCCAUUUUAUGCGUCCUUCAAAUGGUGAUUUUUUAGAUAUUAUAUCCUUUCGCUUUUUCUAUAUGUCGCUUGUUCCUAUGGUUAUUCUUUUUGUUAUGAUUCUGUUUUGGCUUGUGGAUUGCGCUGGUUUUUUUGUCAUUUAGAGGAAUCAUAAUUGUUAACUUUGGUACUUUUUCUGCAUUUCAGCUAAAAUUUGAAUCUUGGGGAUAAUUCGCCGAGCCAGGUUAUGCAAUUGUUGGUGAAACCAGAGCUGUUAUAUUCCUAAAUUUAAAUAUUAUUGAGAAUGAGAGACCUCGAUUCUGUCAAUAUGUUCAAGAGUGUUGAUAUAGAUUCUUUUCUUCGCUAUAUAGAUUAGGCCUAGCGAUGAGUUUGUGCCAUAUGAUUAUCUUGCUUUUGUAAGAUUAAAAUUUUGUUGUCUGGUUGCCUGAUUGGUUUUGUUUCCUAGUAAUUUAUAAUUGCUCGAAGGUUAAUUUUGCUCCAGGAAGCUGACGAUUUUGUUUAUCGCAUUGUAAAGAAUUCUAGCUGUUGGUAGAAACUGUAAUUGCCUCAACUGGUGCGACUUAUUUUUCGACAAGCUAUGAGGGUUAGCUGGACCACUUAUGGAAUGCAGUUAUCAUGUAUCCCUCUCUUGAUUAUUGUUCUACAAAUUCAUGGGUGUUUGUCGCUCAAUUUUGAAGGUAAUAAUGG